ACAGAAUGGCAGCAGCGGCGGCGCGGGAGGGCACCGGACGCCGGUGGGAGGUGCGCCACGAGAAGUAGGAGUUGGCGGCGGCGCGGGAGGGCAGCGGGCGUCGGAGGGAGGUGCCGCGCGGGCAGGAGGAGUCAGCGUCAGCGGCACAGUAGGAGUUCGGCCUUUUUUUUUACACUCCUAUCCUAUGGAGUUCCGCGGGCAGGAGGAGGAGGCCGGCCGCAGGGGAAGGGAAGAGGAGGAGGCCGCAGGGGAAGGGAGGAGGAGGCCGCGUUGGAGGACGGCUGGGGUGAGGAAAAAAGAAAAAAAAGAACGGUUCGGGCGGGGGCUGAAAGAUUCUCCUGCGGGUGGAAUUUCAGCCUCGACACUUAAUCAUUAAACGCACACGGUUAGUAAGUAAUCUAUGUUUAGUGAGUCUGAUUGUGGGACUAUUAGCAGUGUGUGUUCGUUUAGUGGGGUGGACAUUGGAAAGAACAUGUUGGUGCCUUUAUAAGUAGUAGAGAUUGCUUCAAGUUUUUUGUUAUUUGAAUGUUGAAAUAGGGAUAUACAAAAUCAUUGUGGUUCAUUUGAUCUUGAAAACAAAAUUCUAAGUGGUGAAGAAACAACCUAUGAUACAUAGGAAUUAAUUAGGAUAACAUCCGCGAAAAGUGGACAAAAUUAACAUGUGUCCAUUUAUGUCUUGUCAUAGAAAAUGAAAUACGCAGGAAUUAAUUAGGAUAACAUGAAUUUCGCAUGAUU
RNAcentral lists this long non-coding RNA (735 nucleotides) under Brachypodium distachyon (stiff brome). RNAcentral's name for it is "long non-coding RNA (BDIS_LNC005799)". The record is from RNAcentral. Lineage: Eukaryota; Viridiplantae; Streptophyta; Magnoliopsida; Poales; Poaceae.